CCUACGGGGUGCAGCAGUAGGGAAUCUUUCACAAUGGGCGAAAGCCUGAUGGAGCAACGCCGCGUGCAGGAUGAAGGCCUUCGGGUUGUAAACUGCUUUUAUAAGCGAGAAAUAUGAUGGUAACUUAUGAAUAAGGAUCGGCUAACUACGUGCCAGCAGCCGCGGUCAUACGUAGGAUCCGAGCAUUAUCCGGAGUGACUGGGUGUAAAGAGUUGCGUAGGUGGCAUAAUAAGUAGCUAGUGAAAUCUGGUGGCUCAACCAUUCAGACUAUUAGCUAAACUGUUAAGCUCGAGACCGUUAGGGGUAACUGGAAUUGCUAGUGUAGGAGUGAAAUCCGUAGAUAUUAGAAGGAACACCAAUAGCGUAGGCAGGUUGCUGGGACGGUUCUGACACUAAGGCACGAAAGCGUAGGGAGCAAACGGGAUUAGAUACCCUUGUAGUC
This 442-nucleotide ribosomal RNA is filed under the name uncultured bacterium. RNAcentral describes it as "partial 16S ribosomal RNA". It matches the Rfam family "Bacterial small subunit ribosomal RNA", at positions 338 to 795 of the family's 1533-position model. The record is from RNAcentral.